GACGAGUCCGGCGAACGUUAUUCGGAAUUACUGGGCUUAAAGCGUGCGUAGGUGGUUCAGAGGGUUGGGAGUGAAAUCCCACGGCCUAACCGUGGAAUUGCUCUCAAAACCGCUGGACUUGAGGAGGUUAGAGGCGAGCGGAACUACAGGUGGAGCGGUGAAAUGCGUUGAUAUCUGUAGGAACACCGGUGGCGAAGGCGGCUCGCUGGGGCCUUUCUGACACUGAGGCACGAAAGCUAGGGUAGCGAACGGGAUUAGAUACCCCGGUAGUCCUAGCCUUAAACGAUGAACACUAGAUCGAAGUCCCCCUCACAGGAUUUCGGUCGUAGCGAAAGCGUUAAGUGUUCCGCCUGGGGAGUAUGGCCGCAAGGCUGAA
Molecule: ribosomal RNA, 376 nt
Filed under: uncultured bacterium
Lineage: Bacteria
Description: bacterial SSU rRNA
Rfam family: Bacterial small subunit ribosomal RNA
Source: RNAcentral